RNAcentral lists this ribosomal RNA (1271 nucleotides) under uncultured rumen bacterium. RNAcentral describes it as "partial 16S ribosomal RNA". It matches the Rfam family "Bacterial small subunit ribosomal RNA", at positions 45 to 1396 of the family's 1533-position model. The record is from RNAcentral.
UGGAUUAGGCAUGCAAGUCGAACGAAGCAGCAAUGCUUAGUGGCGGAAGGGUGAGGAACGCGUGAGUAAUCUGCCCUCAAGUUGGGAAUAACAGCUGGAAACGGCUGCUAAUACCGAAUGUGGCUGUUUGGUCGCAUGAUCGAACAGUUAAAGAUUUAUUGCUUGAGGAUGAGCUCGCGUCCCAUUAGCUAGUUGGCGGGGCAACGGCCCACCAAGGCGAUGAUGGGUAGCUGGUCUGAGAGGAUGGUCAGCCACACUGGGACUGAGACACUGCCCAGACUCCUACGGGAGGCUGCAGUCGAGAAUCUUGGGCAAUGCGCGAAAGCGUGACCCAGCAAUGCCGCGUGCGUGAUGAAGGUCUUCGGAUUGUAAAGCGCUGUCAACCGGGACGAAAGAUGACGGUACCGGUGAAGGAAGCCACGGCUAACUACGUGCCAGCAGCCGCGGUAAUACGUAGGUGGCGAGCGUUGUUCGGAUUUAUUGGGCGUAAAGGGUCUUUAGGAGGUUCGUUAAAUGCGGGGUGAAAUCCGGGGGCUCAACUCCCGAACUGCCCUGUAGACUGAUGGACUAGGGUACUGGAGAGGUAAGCGGAAUACCAAGUGUAGCGGUGGAAUGCGUAGAUAUUUGGUAGAACACCAAGAGCGAAGGCAGCUUACUGGACUUUAACCGACUCUGAAGGACGAAAGCGUGGGGAGCAAACAGGAUUAGAUACCCUGGUAGUCCACGCCGUAAACGUUGUCAACUUGAUGUGGGCGGAUUUAGACCCGUCCGUAUCGAAGCUAACGCGAUAAGUUGACCGCCUGGGGGACUACGGCCGCAAGGCUAAAACUCAAAGGAAUUGACGGGGGCCCGCACAAGCGGUGGAGCAUGUGGCUUAAUUCGAGGCAACGCGAAGAACCUUACCUGGGCUUGAAAUAUAAGUGACCGCCUGUGAAAGCAGUUUCUCUUCGGAGCGCUUAUACAGGUGCUGCAUGGCUGUCGUCAGCUCGUGCCGUGAGUGUUCGGUUAAGUCCGGCAACGAGCGCACCCGUGUCAUAGUUACCAUCAGGUGAGCUGGGACUCUAUUGAGACUGCCCGUGUUAAGCGGGAGAGCCCGAUGACGUCAGUCAGUAUGGCCCUUACGCCCAUCUGCACACUGCUACAAUGGGGGUACAAUGAAAGCAAUCCGGAAUGAGCAUCUACAACCUCCUAAUCGAAUGAUCUGCAACUGCAUACUGAACUGAUCAGUAGCUACACUCACCCUGAUACGUCCGGCCUGUACACGCCGGUCA